GACGUAGGGCGCGAGCGUUGUCCGGAUUUAUUGGGCGUAAAGAGCUCGUAGGCGGCUUGUCGCGUCGUCCGUGAAAACCCACAGCUCAACUGUGGGCUUGCGGUCGAUACGGGCAGGCUAGAGUUCGGUAGGGGAGACUGGAAUUCCUGGUGUAGCGGUGAAAUGCGCAGAUAUCAGGAGGAACACCGGUGGCGAAGGCGGCGCUCUGGACCGAGACUGACGCUGAGGCGCGAAAGCGUGGGGAGCAAACAGG
Molecule: ribosomal RNA, 253 nt
Filed under: uncultured bacterium
Lineage: Bacteria
Description: partial 16S ribosomal RNA
Rfam family: Bacterial small subunit ribosomal RNA
Source: RNAcentral